GGUGGUGUGGCCGAGUGGCUAGGCAGCGGACUGCAAAUCCGUGUACGGGGAUUCGAAUUCCUCCACCACCUCCA
RNAcentral lists this transfer RNA (74 nucleotides) under Bdellovibrionales bacterium. RNAcentral's name for it is "tRNA-Cys". It matches the Rfam family "tRNA". From Rfam's summary of the family: Transfer RNA (tRNA) molecules are approximately 80 nucleotides in length. Lineage: Bacteria; Pseudomonadati; Bdellovibrionota; Bdellovibrionia; Bdellovibrionales. The record is from RNAcentral.